Molecule: small RNA, 1328 nt
Filed under: Pongo abelii (Sumatran orangutan)
Lineage: Eukaryota; Metazoa; Chordata; Mammalia; Primates; Hominidae
Description: processed transcript
Source: RNAcentral
GACGACGCUGUGACUGAUCCCGGCUUGGAGCCGAAGCUGCGAGCGAGGCAGUGAAAGGGUGGCAGAUUUCUGUGUAAGAGCUGCAGAAAAUGAUCAACUUCCAGAAUCUGACUGCCCACUUGUUGAUGAACCAGGGAAGCAUCGGGAAAGCAAAGACAAUUUUUUGAAGUCAGUUUUGCUCACGUUCAAUAAAAUUCUGACUAUGGAGAGAAUCCACCAUUAUAAUAUGAGCACAAGUCUUAAUCCAAUGAGAAAAAAAUCAUAUAAAUCGUUUGAGAAGCGUUUGCCACCUAAUUUAGACUUACUUAAAUAUAAUAGAAGUUAUACUGUAGAAAACGCUUAUGAAUGCACUGAAUGCGGGAAAGCCUUCAAAAAGAAGUUUCAUUUCAUUAGACAUGAAAAAAAUCAUACAAGGAAAAAACCUUUUGAAUGCAAUGACUGUGGAAAAGCCUAUAGCAGGAAGGCACACCUUGUAACUCAUCAGAAAAUUCAUAAUGGAGAGAGAUCCUUUGUGUGCAAUGAUUGUGGGAAGGCAUUUAUGCAUAAAGCCCAACUCGUGGUCCACCAGAGACUUCACACUGGAGAGAAGCCUUAUGAGUGCAGUCAAUGUGGGAAAACAUUCACUUGGAACUCCUCAUUUAAUCAACACGUGAAAUCUCAUACACUUGAGAAGUCAUUUGAAUGUAAGGAAUGUGGGAAAACCUUCAGAUAUAGUUCAUCCCUUUAUAAACAUUCCAGAUUUCAUACAGGAGAGAAACCCUACCAAUGUAUCAUAUGUGGCAAAGCUUUUGGCAACACAUCCGUGCUUGUUACACACCAAAGAAUUCAUACAGGAGAGAAACCUUACGGAUGUAUUGAAUGUGGCAAAGCCUUCAUCAAGAAGUCUCAUCUCCUCAGACAUCAGAUAACUCAUACAGGAGAGAAGCCCUAUGAAUGUAACAGAUGUGGGAAGGCAUUUUCCCAGAAGUCAAAUCUUAUUGUACAUCAGAAAAUUCAUACAUAAUAUUCACUUUAUGAAUAUGAGAAGGCCUUAUUAAAUAUUUGCUAAAUCUCAUUAAAUACUAAAGAAUUCAUGGUGAGAAGUCUACAAUUUAAAUGAAUUUGGAAGAGUAGAUUCCCAUAAAAAACAAUCAAUGCCAAUCAUGUUCUAGAAGUGAUAAUAAACUUUUUACAGAAAAUAUGAUAGAAAACAACUAUAAAUAAAAGAGCAUAAAGCUUGGAAAGUAAGCAUAACUUAAAUAAUCAAAGAACCAGUGAAAACUACAUUUGCCAUUCCUGACUUUUAAUUUUUAUAAUAAAAUAAUUAUGCAAGUGUAAGUUUAAAAUAU